AGUGACAUUGACAACAGUCUUUUUGUUUUUCUUUACUGUUUCAUUUUUUAAUUUUCUUUUCUUUUUCUUUUUUUCUUCUCUUUCUUCACCUUGUUUACUACUACUAUAUAAUCCACAAUCCUUUAUCACAAUCAUCAUCCGGAAAAAUCUAAUGAAAGUAUUCACCACCAUUUCAAACCACUUCAUCAUCCGGAGAUCAACCUGCCUCCAAACCAGUUGUGCUCUUGUUAAAUGGAGGAUUACUUAUGGUGUUCAGGUGUUCUUCUGUUGGAGAGGGAACAUUUGCUGAGCAUGGUCCUCUCAAACCCAUAAAUUUUGGAUUUAACACAACAAAGCCUCAUAAACUCUGGUCUGAAGAAGGACAGGUAAAUAUUUCAAGUCUAUAACAUCUCUCAAUUUGAUUCUCUUUUUAAUUUAUUUUAUAAGUGUUUCAUCUUUUGUUUAGCACUAUGUGUAUCACAUAGUAGUUUCAAUGCCAAAAUUUCAUAAUUUAUGCCCUGACGUGAUUUCAUUCAUUAAAUAAAUAUAUAAAAGAUAAAUUAAAAAGUGAAGUGAAAUAGCGACCUAAUUAAAAUCGGACUGAUUCAUGAACUGACAUAGAUACGAAGUGUGAUCGGUCAAAUGAGGUAAGACGAUAUAAAAAUAAUAUUAUUUAUUAUUUUACAAUAUAUUAUAUUAAAUAUAAAUAAUACAAUUUAAUUAUAAUAAUUAUAAUUUUAAAAUUUAAUUAAAUUAUUUAUGAUAUAUUUCUAUAUUACUUUUGUUAUUGUUUUCUACAGUGAAAUAAAAAUACAAUAAAAACUAAUGGCAAGUAUAGUAUAUAUACUAAUAUUAUAUAAUGAUAAUCUAAUAUAGAGUAUUGUGUCCUGUAAAAAAAGUUACUGCUAGAUAUCACUUUAUGAUUGGGCUUUAUUUAAAACAAUGUAAAGAAACCAUAAACUUCUCUUUCUCUUAUAAGCCGCCGCUUCUAUUUCACUCCAUCUUGAAACUUUCAUCAUCAACCUGGACAACACUGUCAAAUAUUUUUACAAGCAACUAAUUUUACAAGAAAUAUUUCAUAUUAGUUUUUCUUCUUCUUCUAUAAAUAAAACCCAACUAAAUACUUUCCUUUUAACUCUUUAUUUUUCAUUUUGCCACUAUUUAUUUUAAGAAUUUUUCUGUUAGAAAAACACAGGAAGGUAUAUUUUCUUCUUUCAUUCUUCUUCUGUUUGUAAUACGGUUCAACGAAACCCAAUGAAUCCAGGUUUUGGCGGAUUUUAGGCGGUUUUCUGGUUUAGUUACCGGUUUUUUGCAUAAAUGGUUUUUGAGCUGAUUAGACCGUAUGUAGGUUUGGUUACUGGUCCAACAGGUUGAACCGGCCGACCCGGUUUUCAGUACUAUGUGAAAUAGUGAAUGGUGAUAAAAAAAAGUCUAUAAAUAAGACAUUAUGUGUAAUCAUAUUACUUGCAUUUUCUUCUAACUCUUGCUUUGCUCCCUCUGUCUCUCUCAUAUCUUUGCAAGCACCACCGAGUAAACUCUCUCGAUAUGAUGAAUUUCUACCUUGCUUUGCUGUUUUUCUUCAUUUUAAGAGUAAAUUCCUCAUUUGAAGAGGAUAGAAUAAUUGCUCUCCCUGACCAGCCUGCGGUUAAUUUCCAUCAAUAUGGAGGUUACUUAACCGUUGAUGAAAAUCACGGGAGGAAACUAUUUUAUUACUUCGUUGAGGCGGAAGUCGAUCCGGCUUCCAAACCAGUUGUUCUUUGGAUAAGUAGAGGGGAGAAGAUGAAUUUGUCAGAGAAAAUGAUGAAUAUAAAAUAAGACUAUAUUUACCUCCACUUAUCCAAAGAACAACAGGUUUGGAAGCCGGAUCGACUUCCGCCUCAACGAAGUAAUAAAAUAGUUUCCUCCCGUGAUUUUCAUCAACGGUUAAGUAAUCUCCAUAUUGAUGGAAAUUAACCGCAGGCUGGUCAGGGAGAGCAAUUAUUCUAUCCUCUUCAAAUGAGGAAUUUAUUCUUAAAAUGAAGAAAAACAGCAAAGCAAGGUAGAAAUUCAUCAUAUCGAGAGAGUUUACUCGGUGGUGCUUGCAAAAAUAUGAGAGAGACAGAGAGAGCAAAGCAAGAGUUAGAAGAAAAUGCAAGUAAUAUGAUUACACAUAAUGUCUUAUUUAUAGACUUUUUUUAUCAUUAUUCACUAUUUCAGUGGUCGGUGUUAAACGAUGGUCAUCAUGCAAUGAUGUUGUUGCCUAUGACUUUCAGAGCCUUGAGAAACCAACCCUUUCCUUGUUAGGGACACUUGUCAAGUCAGGUGUUAGGGUAUUAGUUUACAGAGGUAAUUUGGAUUCUGUCAUUCCAUCUCUUGGGACAGCUUCCUUAAUAAAACAUUUGGUCGAGGAUUUUGGGUUUAACACAACAAAGCGUCAUGAACUCUGGUCUGAGGACGGAUAGGUUGGUGAACCGAGUAUGGAGUUUGAAGACAUGCUAACAUUUGCAGGUCUCCUUAGAGUUGGCCAUUUCCUUCCUUUUUCUCAACCAGAGAUAUCAUUGAAGAUGAUUAGGAAUUUUUUAAAAGGAAUGUCUCUUCAUAAUGAGAAGAGAUGUAUGGAGAUAGAGAGAGAGAAGAUAACUUGUUUGAAUUGUUAAGAGACCUUCCUUUUAGACAAGUAAAGAUUGGGAGAUCAAUUUAGGAGCCUAUGUUUUUGAGAUGUCUAGUGUUUUGAGUGUUGUGUUGAAAUUUGUAUAAGUCAAGACUUUGUAUCAUCCUCCUUGUACCCUCUUGAAUAUAUUAAACUCAAUGUUACAAAAGUCUAAGUAUAAGAUUGGGAGAUCAAUUUAGAUGUCUAGUAUUUUGGGUGUUGUGUUGAAAUACUCUAUCAGUCAAGACUUUGUAUUAUCCUCCUUGUACCCUCUUGAAUAUAUUCAAAUCAAUUAAAUUUGCAGUGGCUUGUAAAUUAAAUUAUUUUUUCCAAUA
Vicia villosa (hairy vetch) is the source of this 2943-nucleotide long non-coding RNA. RefSeq lists it as uncharacterized. The record is from RefSeq and is a predicted model, not a curated record. Lineage: Eukaryota; Viridiplantae; Streptophyta; Magnoliopsida; Fabales; Fabaceae. The transcript has 5 exons.